This 253-nucleotide ribosomal RNA is filed under the name uncultured bacterium. RNAcentral describes it as "partial 16S ribosomal RNA". It matches the Rfam family "Bacterial small subunit ribosomal RNA", at positions 524 to 776 of the family's 1533-position model. The record is from RNAcentral.
UACGUAGGGCGCAAGCGUUGUCCGGAAUUACUGGGCGUAAAGCGUGCGCAGGCGGUCUUGCAAGACAGAUGUGAAAUCCCCGGGCUCAACCUGGGAACUGCAUUUGUGACUGCAUAGCUAGAGUACGGUAGAGGGGGAUGGAAUUCCGCGUGUAGCAGUGAAAUGCGUAGAUAUGCGGAGGAACACCGAUGGCGAAGGCAAUCCCCUGGACCUGUACUGACGCUCAUGCACGAAAGCGUGGGGAGCAAACAGG